CGUGCAUGUGUGCGCGUGUGUGUGUGCGUGUGUGUGCACGCGUGCACAUGCGCACACUCACACAUGCAUGCU
Molecule: microRNA precursor, 72 nt
Filed under: Marmota monax (woodchuck)
Lineage: Eukaryota; Metazoa; Chordata; Mammalia; Rodentia; Sciuridae
Source: RNAcentral